UGCAGUCGAACGGUGAAGCAGAGCUUGCUCUGUGGAUCAGUGGCGAACGGGUGAGUAACACGUGAGCAAUCUGCCCCUGACUCUGGGAUAAGCGCUGGAAACGGCGUCUAAUACCGGAUACGAGCUGCGACCGCAUGGUCAGUAGCUGGAAAGAAUUUCGGUCAGGGAUGAGCUCGCGGCCUAUCAGCUUGUUGGUGAGGUAAUGGCUCACCAAGGCGUCGACGGGUAGCCGGCCUGAGAGGGUGACCGGCCACACUGGGACUGAGACACGGCCCAGACUCCUACGGGAGGCAGCAGUGGGGAAUAUUGCACAAUGGGCGAAAGCCUGAUGCAGCAACGCCGCGUGAGGGAUGACGGCCUUCGGGUUGUAAACCUCUUUUAGCAGGGAAGAAGCGAAAGUGACGGUACCUGCAGAAAAAGCGCCGGCUAACUACGUGCCAGCAGCCGCGGUAAUACGUAGGGCGCAAGCGUUAUCCGGAAUUAUUGGGCGUAAAGAGCUCGUAGGCGGUCUGUCGCGUCUGCUGUGAAAACCCGAGGCUCAACCUCGGGCCUGCAGUGGGUACGGGCAGACUAGAGUGCGGUAGGGGAGAUUGGAAUUCCUGGUGUAGCGGUGGAAUGCGCAGAUAUCAGGAGGAACACCGAUGGCGAAGGCAGAUCUCUGGGCCGUAACUGACGCUGAGGAGCGAAAGGGUGGGGAGCAAACAGGCUUAGAUACCCUGGUAGUCCACCCCGUAAACGUUGGGAACUAGUUGUGGGGUCCAUUCCACGGAUUCCGUGACGCAGCUAACGCAUUAAGUUCCCCGCCUGGGGAGUACGGCCGCAAGGCUAAAACUCAAAGGAAUUGACGGGGACCCGCACAAGCGGCGGAGCAUGCGGAUUAAUUCGAUGCAACGCGAAGAACCUUACCAAGGCUUGACAUAUAGAGGAAACGUCUGGAAACAGUCGCCCCGCAAGGUCUCUAUACAGGUGGUGCAUGGUUGUCGUCAGCUCGUGUCGUGAGAUGUUGGGUUAAGUCCCGCAACGAGCGCAACCCUCGUUCUAUGUUGCCAGCACGUAAUGGUGGGAACUCAUGGGAUACUGCCGGGGUCAACUCGGAGGAAGGUGGGGAUGACGUCAAAUCAUCAUGCCCCUUAUGUCUUGGGCUUCACGCAUGCUACAAUGGCCGGUACAAAGGGCUGCAAUACCGUGAGGUGGAGCGAAUCCCAAAAAGCCGGUCCCAGUUCGGAUUGAGGUCUGCAACUCGACCUCAUGAAGUCGGAGUCGCUAGUAAUCGCAG
RNAcentral lists this ribosomal RNA (1276 nucleotides) under Microbacterium sp. LC240. Its description in RNAcentral is "bacterial SSU rRNA". It matches the Rfam family "Bacterial small subunit ribosomal RNA", at positions 56 to 1347 of the family's 1533-position model. Lineage: Bacteria; Bacillati; Actinomycetota; Actinomycetes; Micrococcales; Microbacteriaceae. The record is from RNAcentral.